UACGUAGGGAGCGAGCGUUGUCCGGAAUUACUGGGUGUAAAGGGAGCGUAGGCGGGACAGUAAGUCAGGUGUGAAAUCUAUGGGCUCAACCCAUAGCGUGCAUUUGAAACUACUGUUCUUGAGUGAAGUAGAGGUUGGCGGAAUUCCUAGUGUAGCGGUGAAAUGCGUAGAUAUUAGGAGGAACAUCAGUGGCGAAGGCGGCCAACUGGGCUUUUACUGACGCUGAGGCUCGAAAGCGUGGGGAGCAAACAGGAUUAGAUACCCCCGUA
This 269-nucleotide ribosomal RNA is filed under the name uncultured prokaryote. RNAcentral's name for it is "partial 16S ribosomal RNA". It matches the Rfam family "Bacterial small subunit ribosomal RNA", at positions 524 to 792 of the family's 1533-position model. The record is from RNAcentral.